GCCAGUCCACGCCGCUUCUCCGUCGUUGGAGCACCGCCGGCCUUGUGCAGCCCCGCGCCGCUGCCUGUUGCCGCCGCUGCGGCUCAAAUCCCGGUCGAGCCGCUUGUCCUCCGCCACUGGUGAGGCCUCCCGUGAGCUCGCCGUCACCUCCUCUCUCGAUUCCCAUCCUCGCCGUGGCCACCCGCUCACCGGAGCGUCGCCGAUUUGGCCGGCCAGAGCCGCCGCAGGCCUGGGGAAG
Molecule: long non-coding RNA, 238 nt
Filed under: Setaria italica (foxtail millet)
Lineage: Eukaryota; Viridiplantae; Streptophyta; Magnoliopsida; Poales; Poaceae
Description: long non-coding RNA (SITA_LNC002509)
Source: RNAcentral